GGUUAAGCGACUAAGCGUACACGGUGGAUGCCCUGGCAGUCAGAGGCGAUGAAGGGCGUGCUAAUCUGCGAUAAGCGCCGGUAAGGUGAUAUGAACCGUUAUAACCGGCGAUACCCGAAUGGGGAAACCCAGUGUGACUCGUCACACUAUCAUUAACUGAAUCCAUAGGUUAAUGAGGCGAACCGGGGGAACUGAAACAUCUAAGUACCCCGAGGAAAAGAAAUCAACCGAGAUUCCCCCAGUAGCGGCGAGCGAACGGGGAGGAGCCCAGAGCCUGAAUCAGCAUGUGUGUUAGUGGAAGCGUCUGGAAAGGCGCGCGAUACAGGGUGACAGCCCCGUACACAAAAGCGCAUGUGCUGUGAGCUCGAUGAGUAGGGCGGGACACGUGGUAUCCUGUCUGAAUAUGGGGGGGCCAUCCUCCAAGGCUAAAUACUCCUGACUGACCGAUAGUGAACCAGUACCGUGAGGGAAAGGCGAAAAGAACCCCGGCGAGGGGAGUGAAAAAGAACCUGAAACCGUGUACGUACAAGCAGUGGGAGCACCCUUUGGGGUGUGACUGCGUACCUUUUGUAUAAUGGGUCAGCGACUUAUAUUCUGUAGCAAGGUUAACCGAAUAGGGGAGCCGGAGGGAAACCGAGUCUUAAUUGGGCGUUAAGUUGCAGGGUAUAGACCCGAAACCCGGUGAUCUAGCCAUGGGCAGGUUGAAGGUUGGGUAACACUAACUGGAGGACCGAACCGACUAAUGUUGAAAAAUUAGCGGAUGACCUGUGGCUGGGGGUGAAAGGCCAAUCAAACCGGGAGAUAGCUGGUUCUCCCCGAAAGCUAUUUAGGUAGCGCCUCGUGAAUUCAUCUCCGGGGGUAGAGCACUGUUUCGGCUAGGGGGCCAUCCCGGCUUACCAACCCGAUGCAAACUGCGAAUACCGGAGAAUGUUAUCACGGGAGACACACGGCGGGUGCUAACGUCCGUCGUGAAGAGGGAAACAACCCAGACCGCCAGCUAAGGUCCCAAAGUCAUGGUUAAGUGGGAAACGAUGUGGGAAGGCCCAGACAGCCAGGAUGUUGGCUUAGAAGCAGCCAUCAUUUAAAGAAAGCGUAAUAGCUCACUGGUCGAGUCGGCCUGCGCGGAAGAUGUAACGGGGCUAAACCAUGCACCGAAGCUGCGGCAGCGAACGUAUCACUUAAAGCGAUUCAGCGGGUUACGAUUGACGGAGCGAAGCGACGUCAAAGCGUAUACAAAGUCGAGUCGGUUUAAGGAUACGUUCGUUGGGUAGGGGAGCGUUCUGUAAGCCUGUGAAGGUGGCCUGUGAGGGUUGCUGGAGGUAUCAGAAGUGCGAAUGCUGACAUAAGUAACGAUAAAGCGGGUGAAAAGCCCGCUCGCCGGAAGACCAAGGGUUCCUGUCCAACGUUAAUCGGGGCAGGGUGAGUCGACCCCUAAGGCGAGGCCGAAAGGCGUAGUCGAUGGGAAACAGGUUAAUAUUCCUGUACUUGGUGUUACUGCGAAGGGGGGACGGAGAAGGCUAUGUUGGCCGGGCGACGGUUGUCCCGGUUUAAGCGUGUAGGUGUGUGUUCCAGGUAAAUCCGGUUCACUUUAACACUGAGGCGUGAUGACGAGGCACUACGGUGCUGAAGCAACAAAUGCCCUGCUUCCAGGAAAAGCCUCUAAGCAUCAGGUAACAUCAAAUCGUACCCCAAACCGACACAGGUGGUCAGGUAGAGAAUACCAAGGCGCUUGAGAGAACUCGGGUGAAGGAACUAGGCAAAAUGGUGCCGUAACUUCGGGAGAAGGCACGCUGACACGUAGGUGAAGUGAUUUACUCAUGGAGCUGAAGUCAGUCGAAGAUACCAGCUGGCUGCAACUGUUUAUUAAAAACACAGCACUGUGCAAACACGAAAGUGGACGUAUACGGUGUGACGCCUGCCCGGUGCCGGAAGGUUAAUUGAUGGGGUCAGCGCAAGCGAAGCUCCUGAUCGAAGCCCCGGUAAACGGCGGCCGUAACUAUAACGGUCCUAAGGUAGCGAAAUUCCUUGUCGGGUAAGUUCCGACCUGCACGAAUGGCGUAAUGAUGGCCAGGCUGUCUCCACCCGAGACUCAGUGAAAUUGAACUCGCUGUGAAGAUGCAGUGUACCCGCGGCAAGACGGAAAGACCCCGUGAACCUUUACUAUAGCUUGACACUGAACAUUGAGCCUUGAUGUGUAGGAUAGGUGGGAGGCUUUGAAGUGUGGACGCCAGUCUGCAUGGAGCCGACCUUGAAAUACCACCCUUUAAUGUUUGAUGUUCUAACGUGGACCCGUAAUCCGGGUUGCGGACAGUGUCUGGUGGGUAGUUUGACUGGGGCGGUCUCCUCCUAAAGAGUAACGGAGGAGCACGAAGGUUGGCUAAUCCUGGUCGGACAUCAGGAGGUUAGUGCAAUGGCAUAAGCCAGCUUGACUGCGAGCGUGACGGCGCGAGCAGGUGCGAAAGCAGGUCAUAGUGAUCCGGUGGUUCUGAAUGGAAGGGCCAUCGCUCAACGGAUAAAAGGUACUCCGGGGAUAACAGGCUGAUACCGCCCAAGAGUUCAUAUCGACGGCGGUGUUUGGCACCUCGAUGUCGGCUCAUCACAUCCUGGGGCUGAAGUAGGUCCCAAGGGUAUGGCUGUUCGCCAUUUAAAGUGGUACGCGAGCUGGGUUUAGAACGUCGUGAGACAGUUCGGUCCCUAUCUGCCGUGGGCGCUGGAGAACUGAGGGGGGCUGCUCCUAGUACGAGAGGACCGGAGUGGACGCAUCACUGGUGUUCGGGUUGUCAUGCCAAUGGCACUGCCCGGUAGCUAAAUGCGGAAGAGAUAAGUGCUGAAAGCAUCUAAGCACGAAACUUGCCCCGAGAUGAGUUCUCCCUGAGACUUAGAGUCUCCUGAAGGAACGUUGAAGACGACGACGUUGAUAGGCCGGGUGUGUAAGCGCAGCGAUGCGUUGAGCUAACCGGUACUAAUGAACCGUGAGGCUUAACCUU
Molecule: ribosomal RNA, 2987 nt
Filed under: Salmonella enterica
Lineage: Bacteria; Pseudomonadati; Pseudomonadota; Gammaproteobacteria; Enterobacterales; Enterobacteriaceae
Description: 23S ribosomal RNA
Rfam family: Bacterial large subunit ribosomal RNA
Source: RNAcentral